This 269-nucleotide ribosomal RNA is filed under the name uncultured bacterium. RNAcentral's name for it is "partial 16S ribosomal RNA". It matches the Rfam family "Bacterial small subunit ribosomal RNA", at positions 524 to 790 of the family's 1533-position model. The record is from RNAcentral.
GACAGAGGAUGCAAGCGUUAUCCGGAAUGAUUGGGCGUAAAGCGUCUGUAGGUGGCUUUUCAAGUCCGCCGUCAAAUCCCAGGGCUCAACCCUGGACAGGCGGUGGAAACUACCAAGCUGGAGUACGGUAGGGGCAGGAGGGAAUUUCCGGUGGAGCGGUGAAAUGCAUUGAGAUCGGAAAGAACACCAACGGCGAAAGCACUCGUAGCUGGGCCGACACUGACACUGAGAGACGAAAGCUAGGGAGCAAAUGGGAUUAGGAAACCCUU